UUUGAGUCACUUUCCCACUCAGAGGUGUUC
RNAcentral lists this non-coding RNA (30 nucleotides) under Rattus norvegicus (Norway rat). The record is from RNAcentral. Lineage: Eukaryota; Metazoa; Chordata; Mammalia; Rodentia; Muridae.